This 71-nucleotide transfer RNA is filed under the name Tregellasia capito (pale-yellow robin). RNAcentral's name for it is "tRNA-Leu". It matches the Rfam family "tRNA". From Rfam's summary of the family: Transfer RNA (tRNA) molecules are approximately 80 nucleotides in length. Lineage: Eukaryota; Metazoa; Chordata; Aves; Passeriformes; Petroicidae. The record is from RNAcentral.
ACUUUCAAAGGAUAGUAGCAAUCCAAUGGUCUUAGGAGCCAUCCACCUUGGUGCAAAUCCAAGUGAAAGUA